Molecule: long non-coding RNA, 903 nt
Organism: Papaver somniferum (opium poppy)
Lineage: Eukaryota; Viridiplantae; Streptophyta; Magnoliopsida; Ranunculales; Papaveraceae
Exons: 2
Source: RefSeq, a predicted model, not a curated record
CAGCUCUCUUUCACUUCCUCUCUCUCUCUCUUAAAACAAGUUGAACCCUUCGUUCAUGCGCCUCCCUCUCCCAAUCUUUUCAACUUCUUCAUCAUCUUUACUGUCUUAGUAGAUCUCCUGUUAAAUGAUAAAAGUUGUUAAUUGAUGUUCAUAUAAUUGGAUUUAAUGAUAAUUUUUUUUAUUUGUUAUUUGUCUUACUUCUUACUAAAACGGAAAUGAAAGAUUCAGAUCUUGAAUGUUGGUUUAAUUUAUCCAUUAAAAGUUUGAGUUUUGUUUGAUGGUUGUAUUAAUAAUGGUAUUCAAGUACCAGAGUUCCGUUUCUUCUUCCUCUGUAUUAAUCUGCUUACUUGAAAUCUAUAUGAACAUGGUUGUGUUUGGAUUUUCUCAAUGGGUUUAAUUUUUUUUUUUUUCGUUUUUUGAAUGAACAAAUUACCAGGUAAGGUUUGCUCCAAUCAGCUAGCUUAAGUUGAAAAUCAGCUAGCUUAAGUUGAAAAUGGUACAAGAUAUCAGAUUUUAAUGGACCAAAGUUCAUCAUUUAUUUUUGAAGGAACUAGAUCUGGAAUGAGUAUUCAUCUCAAAAUCAGAGUUGGAAAUACAGAUCAGGAUGAUAUUAGGCUUCACCAGUAUGAAUCUUGUUUCUAAGCUUCUCCAGUGAUUUCAAAGGACGGUGAUGCGUGGUGCUUCAGCUUUGUCCACGAGUUUUGAUGGGAUUGUAAUUUUUGUUAUAUUUUUAAGAAAUUGAAUUUUAUUUCUGUAAUUUUGUUUUGAUGGAGAUUGUAUUUUAUAUUAUUCCCUUAAAAAAUAAAAAGUGAAGUUGUAAUUUAUUUAUUUAUUUUCCUUGUAAAAAAAUGAUUAUGUAAAUUGAAUUUUAUUAGAUAAUAAAGUUGACUACUUGAUUUACUA